RNAcentral lists this ribosomal RNA (433 nucleotides) under uncultured bacterium. RNAcentral describes it as "partial 16S ribosomal RNA". It matches the Rfam family "Bacterial small subunit ribosomal RNA", at positions 29 to 507 of the family's 1533-position model. The record is from RNAcentral.
AACGAACGCUGGCGGCAUGCCUAACACAUGCAAGUCGAACGAAACCUUCGGGUCUUGUGGCGCACGGGUGCGUAACGCGUGGGAACCUUCCCUUGGGUUCGGCAUAACUCCCCGAAAGGGGUGCUAAUACCGGAUAAUGUCUUCUGACCAAAAAUUUAUCGCCUUUGGAUGGUCCCUCGUUGGAUUCGCUAUUUGUUAGGGUAAAAGCCUACCAAGGCGCCGAUCCCUAGCUGGUCUGAGAGGAUGAUCAGCCACACUGGGACUGAGACACGGCCCAGACUCCUACGGGAUGCAGGAGUGGGGAAUAUAGGAAAACGGGCGAAAGGCUGAACCAGUAAUGCCGCGAGAGUGAUGAAGGCAUGAGGGUUGUAAAGCGCUUUUACCCGGGAUGAUAAUGACAGUACCGGGAGAAUAAGCCACGGCUAACUACGUG